Molecule: long non-coding RNA, 1799 nt
Organism: Pezoporus occidentalis (night parrot)
Lineage: Eukaryota; Metazoa; Chordata; Aves; Psittaciformes; Psittacidae
Exons: 7
Source: RefSeq, a predicted model, not a curated record
CAGUUGAAGGUGCUGAGCAUGGGGAGAGGAUGGAAGAGUGUGCCUUGCUUGGAGAGGAAGAAUAGGAAAGCUAGAUUCCCUGGGGUGUUGGCAGUUGGGAUCAGUGAUCAACAGGACAGCAGUGCCUAGCUGUAACCCAGCACCUGGAUUGCAAGGUAAAGACACAGGGACACCUUUUAUUCCAAAGGAAGAGAAGAAGCUCCACCAGCUAUGCCAGGCAGCCAGCUUGAUGUCUUGCCCUUGUGUGUCUCCAUCCAUCAUGGGCUCAGAGCAUUAGCAGGAGACUUCACUGGGUAAUCCUUGCAUCUGGCACAAAGUCCUGGGGCUGAGCAGUGUCUAAUGGCACAGGAAGAAAACCAGAUUCAAACUGAAGCUACUAAAUGAUGGGGAAUGCAUCUUGUUAACUUCAUGCUCUGAUGAGGUUUCCUAGCAUGUUCUCACUCAGCUGUUUGCCCAGGCAAUUUUGGGCAGUGUUUCUCAGCCUAUGUAAACCAAAGGGCUAACCAGCCUUAUAAAAACCCCAACAAACCACAACACCAAAAUGCAGUCAUGCUCCAACUUCUGAUCCAGAUCUCAUUUAUCCUGUUGAGUGAUGCUGUGGUACACAGACCUGCCAACACCGACUGUGGGAUCACAGUUUCGGGGGAUAUUCCCUGUACCAGUUUUCCCUAAGAAAUUAUCCAUCAAGACUUGAAAAAUACAUCUGCUCUGGAACCAACCCGUUGCAGUACGUAAACAAGCUGGCUGGAAACAAGCCUGACCACAGGGUUAUUGGGAGCCCAGAUCUUUGGCCAUUUCCCACACUGCAAGCAUCCACUCUCUGUGAGGCAGCUGCAGCCACGCUGUCAAUAGAGGGAUCAGGUAACCACACCAGGAGCAUUUCAACAACCCGUCGCUGUUGAUCUGAGCUUUCCCUCUCAUGAGAUUCAAAUAGGAACCAUCUUUCCACCUGAGAGGAAUGUCAAGCUCUGAUCCAGCCUUAUUUCAAUGCUUUGGUUCUUCUGGAGACUGACAGCAAGCAGUUCCCCUCCUUAAAGUGGGCAUCAGUGAACCUCUGACCCCAAAAGGGGCAAAGGGCAGUGCAUGUUUGCAGAUACAGGUCUGCUCCUCCAGCCCUGCUCCUUGUUAGGACCAUGUCUGCCAUGGCUUAUCUCUAGGAAAAAGGAGAGGAUAUGGAAGGAAAAGAGGGAAAGGGAAGCACAAGGUUCACCAGGCAUUGGCUUUGAAAGGGCAGAAAGCCGUGAACUAUCACGCCAGGACCCUCAGCCACACUGUCACUGUGUACUGAAGUGCAGGAAGGGUGGUGGUGGUGGUGAGCGGGACACUGCACACAAGGAUGGAAUGCUUGGGGGGUUGAAGGGAAGCGAUGUGAGGCACCUUCACCUCCUGAACAUGCAGGACCCAGGCUGUCAGCAGCACCUGCAGAGGGUGCCAUCAGAGUCAAGGGCUGUCCUUUAAAUGCCCUGGUCUAUAGCAGGAUUUAAAGGAUGAGAUCACUGUAGCUAUGUCAAAUGCAGGCUUGUAGUCAGAGCUAUUCUGUUGUAUUCAUGAAGAACAAAAUGUCUCCAGAGGACAAUCCUUUCCCCCCAAAGGCAUGUCCCUAAGGUGGGUGAGAUGAGCUGCUUCUGAAGAUCUCUAUCUCUGGAAUUCAGGUCUCCUGAACCCCAGCCAAGCUCUUGCCCCAGUGAGAGCUUUGACUGGUAAGGAUCGGUUCCUAAACUGGGACGGGGCCACAAGGUGGGGAAGAGGAAAACUGCUGAUUCUGCAAUGAAGAAAAGCAGUAGCUGGUGGGGAUGCAG